UUGGGGUAGCCUAUUUCUCUACCUAUCGUUUAAUCUCAGAGGCGCCUUUGGCACUUUCAUUUCUCAGCUCCGGUGACACUGAAAGGGAAGAGGCAGGGGAGCUGUGGAACACCUGGACUGGAUGCAAAGAUUGGGCUCAGCCUUCCCUAACGCCACGGCAGCAGCACGACUCUCGGAGCCCUGCUGCCCGGCUCUGCUGCCGAGCCUCAGCAACUUUCAAAUGGCAGAUCUUCAGAUUGGAGACCGGCUGGUGGAUGGAGAAUUUUCCCGUCCUAACUGCUUCCCCUCCAGGAGUUGCUGAUCCCAAUCAAGCAAACCACAUUGUGGCUUAGUGCCACGGCUGAACAAGGCUCUUCUUUAACAGCAAAGCUGCCAGGCUGCACUGGCACCUCUUGUAGGAAGAGGGCUUGCCUGGGGGCUGGAGUUCAGUUGAGAGCCCAAACGGAGCAUGGUGCGGAGAUACGGACGCAGUCUAUGGCAGCCCAGGAGCCCGCAGACCGAGGAGGUUAAUGGCCUGGUCCGAGUCAGAGCUGAGAUUCAGAAGGCAGAGCGGGAAGCAGGGUGCAGGAACGUGGAUCCGAGGCCGGCCCGGGGACUGCAGUCGUCCGAACCUGCUGCGAGUCCUGCUGCAGCCUGGGCAAGAGCGGUGGUGCCGCGUUUGCUGCCAGAGAGACGCUUGCCAGUGGCAGGCAGGCUGCUGAAGGCCUGGUAAGCAAGACCGCCCUGGUGGGCUUUAGCCUGGCACGACCCUGCCUGCCGAGCCGAGGGGUCUGGGGUGUGAAACUCUGGCCGGACCUCCGGCCUUCCAGAUGGGGCUGCCGUUUCUUCCCUCCGCCUGCUCGGGCGGGGCCGAUGGGAGCUCCAGUACUAACCCGGCCGAGGCGGCAG
Non-coding RNA from Python bivittatus (Burmese python), 888 nucleotides. The record is from RefSeq and is a predicted model, not a curated record. NCBI's taxonomy places the organism in Eukaryota, Metazoa, Chordata, Lepidosauria, Squamata, Pythonidae.